UGCAUACUCCAAAAGCGGAGGAAAAGAAACCAACAGGGAUUGCCUUAGUAGCGGCGAGUGAAGCGGCAAAAGCUCAAAUUUGAAAUCUGGCGUAUUCUGCGUCCGAGUUGUAAUUUGAAGAAGGAUACUUUGGGGUUGGCUCUUGUCUAUGUUUCUUGGAACAGAACGUCACAGAGGGUGAGAAUCCCGUGCGAUGAGAAGCCCAAUUCCGUGUAAAGUGCCUUCGAAGAGUCGAGUUGUUUGGGAAUGCAGCUCUAAGUGGGUGGUAAAUUCCAUCUAAAGCUAAAUAUUGGCGAGAGACCGAUAGCGAACAAGUACAGUGAUGGAAAGAUGAAAAGAACUUUGAAAAGAGAGUGAAAAAGUACGUGAAAUUGUUGAAAGGGAAGGGCUUGAGAUCAGACUUGGUAUUUUGUAUGUCUUGCUUUCGGGUGGGGCCUCUGCAGUUUACUGGGCCAGCAUCGGUUCGGGUGGUAGGACAAUUGCGAAGGAACGUGGCACUGCUUCGGUGGUGUGUUAUAGCCUUUGUGGAUACUGCCUGUCUGGACCGAGGACUGCGUCAUUUGACUAGGAUGCUGGCAUAAUGAUCUUAAGUCGCCCGUCUUGACCAACGGGGCACA
Molecule: ribosomal RNA, 617 nt
Filed under: Hemisphaericaspora elongata
Lineage: Eukaryota; Fungi; Ascomycota; Pichiomycetes; Serinales; Debaryomycetaceae
Description: Spathaspora elongata partial large subunit ribosomal RNA
Rfam family: Eukaryotic large subunit ribosomal RNA
Source: RNAcentral